Molecule: unclassified non-coding RNA, 218 nt
Filed under: uncultured Thelephoraceae
Lineage: Eukaryota; Fungi; Basidiomycota; Agaricomycetes; Thelephorales; Thelephoraceae
Description: sequence contains ITS2
Source: RNAcentral
ACACCUCAACUCUCAUGGUUCGCCGUGAUGAGCUUGGACUUUGGGGGUCUUGCCGGCAUACCGUCGGCUCCUCUCAAACGAAUCAGCUUGCCAGUGUUUGGUGGCAUCACGGGUGUGAUAACUAUCUACGCUCGUGAUCUCCCACCAGGUAACCUUCAGCGAUGGAGGUUCGCUGGAGCUCACAAAUGUCUCUCCUCAGCGAAGACAGCUUUUUGAAC